RNAcentral lists this transfer RNA (76 nucleotides) under Puniceicoccales bacterium. RNAcentral's name for it is "tRNA-Thr". It matches the Rfam family "tRNA". From Rfam's summary of the family: Transfer RNA (tRNA) molecules are approximately 80 nucleotides in length. Their secondary structure includes four short double-helical elements and three loops (D, anti-codon, and T loops). Further hydrogen bonds mediate the characteristic L-shaped molecular structure. tRNAs have two regions of fundamental functional importance: the anti-codon, which is responsible for specific mRNA codon recognition, and the 3' end, to which the tRNAs corresponding amino acid is attached (by aminoacyl-tRNA synthetases). tRNAs cope with the degeneracy of the genetic code in two manners: having more than one tRNA (with a specific anti-codon) for a particular amino acid; and 'wobble' base-pairing, i.e. permitting non-standard base-pairing at the 3rd anti-codon position. The record is from RNAcentral. Lineage: Bacteria; Pseudomonadati; Verrucomicrobiota; Opitutia; Puniceicoccales.
GCCGGAUUAGCUCAGCUGGUAGAGCACUCGCCUUGUAAGCGAAAGGUCGUCGGUCCGAUUCCGACAUCCGGCUCCA